RNAcentral lists this ribosomal RNA (2911 nucleotides) under Enterococcus faecalis EnGen0361. RNAcentral describes it as "bacterial LSU rRNA". It matches the Rfam family "Bacterial large subunit ribosomal RNA". Lineage: Bacteria; Bacillati; Bacillota; Bacilli; Lactobacillales; Enterococcaceae. The record is from RNAcentral.
UUAAGUGAAUAAGGGCGCACGGUGGAUGCCUUGGCACUAGGAGCCGAUGAAGGACGGGACUAACACCGAUAUGCUUUGGGGAGCUGUAAGUAAGCUAUGAUCCAGAGAUUUCCGAAUGGGGGAACCCAAUAUCUUUUAUAGGAUAUUACUUUUCAGUGAAUACAUAGCUGAUUAGAGGUAGACGCAGAGAACUGAAACAUCUUAGUACCUGCAGGAAGAGAAAGAAAAUUCGAUUCCCUGAGUAGCGGCGAGCGAAACGGGAAGAGCCCAAACCAACAAGCUUGCUUGUUGGGGUUGUAGGACUCCAAUAUGGUAGUCUGUUAGUAUAGUUGAAGGAUUUGGAAAAUUCCGCUAAAGAGGGUGAAAGCCCCGUAGACGAAAUGCUGACAACACCUAGGAGGAUCCUGAGUACGGCGGAACACGAGAAAUUCCGUCGGAAUCCGCGGGGACCAUCCCGCAAGGCUAAAUACUCCCUAGUGACCGAUAGUGAACCAGUACCGUGAGGGAAAGGUGAAAAGCACCCCGGAAGGGGAGUGAAAUAGAUCCUGAAACCGUGUGCCUACAACAAGUCAAAGCUCGUUAAUGAGUGAUGGCGUGCCUUUUGUAGAAUGAACCGGCGAGUUACGAUUGCAUGCGAGGUUAAGUCGAAGAGACGGAGCCGCAGCGAAAGCGAGUCUGAAUAGGGCGAAUGAGUAUGUAGUCGUAGACCCGAAACCAUGUGAUCUACCCAUGUCCAGGUUGAAGGUGCGGUAAAACGCACUGGAGGACCGAACCCACGUACGUUGAAAAGUGCGGGGAUGAGGUGUGGGUAGCGGAGAAAUUCCAAACGAACUUGGAGAUAGCUGGUUCUCUCCGAAAUAGCUUUAGGGCUAGCCUCGGAAUUGAGAAUGAUGGAGGUAGAGCACUGUUUGGACUAGGGGCCCAUCUCGGGUUACCGAAUUCAGAUAAACUCCGAAUGCCAUUCAUUUAUAUCCGGGAGUCAGACUGCGAGUGAUAAGAUCCGUAGUCGAAAGGGAAACAGCCCAGACCACCAGCUAAGGUCCCAAAAUAUAUGUUAAGUGGAAAAGGAUGUGGGGUUGCACAGACAACUAGGAUGUUGGCUUAGAAGCAGCCACCAUUUAAAGAGUGCGUAAUAGCUCACUAGUCGAGUGACCCUGCGCCGAAAAUGUACCGGGGCUAAACAUAUUACCGAAGCUGUGGACUACACCAUUAGGUGUAGUGGUAGGAGAGCGUUCUAAGGGCGUUGAAGGUCGAUCGUGAGGACGGCUGGAGCGCUUAGAAGUGAGAAUGCCGGUAUGAGUAGCGAAAGACAGGUGAGAAUCCUGUCCACCGUAUGACUAAGGUUUCCUGGGGAAGGCUCGUCCGCCCAGGGUUAGUCGGGACCUAAGCCGAGGCCGAUAGGCGUAGGCGAUGGACAACAGGUUGAUAUUCCUGUACCAGUUGUUUUUGUUUGAGCAAUGGAGGGACGCAGUAGGCUAAGGAAUGCAUGCGAUUGGAAGUGCAUGUCCAAGCAAUGAGUCUUGAGUAGAGUUAAAUGCUUUACUCUCUAAGGACAAGUUGUGACGGGGAGCGAAAUAAUAGUAGCGAAGUUCCUGAUGUCACACUGCCAAGAAAAGCUUCUAGUGAGAAAACAACUGCCCGUACCGUAAACCGACACAGGUAGUCGAGGAGAGUAUCCUAAGGUGAGCGAGCGAACUCUCGUUAAGGAACUCGGCAAAAUGACCCCGUAACUUCGGGAGAAGGGGUGCUGACUUCGGUCAGCCGCAGUGAAUAGGCCCAAGCGACUGUUUAUCAAAAACACAGGUCUCUGCAAAAUCGUAAGAUGAAGUAUAGGGGUUGACGCCUGCCCGGUGCUGGAAGGUUAAGAGGAUGGGUUAGCUUCGGCGAAGCUCAGAAUUGAAGCCCCAGUAAACGGCGGCCGUAACUAUAACGGUCCUAAGGUAGCGAAAUUCCUUGUCGGGUAAGUUCCGACCCGCACGAAAGGCGUAACGAUUUGGGCACUGUCUCAACGAGAGACUCGGUGAAAUUUUAGUACCUGUGAAGAUGCAGGUUACCCGCGACAGGACGGAAAGACCCCAUGGAGCUUUACUGUAGUUUGAUAUUGAGUGUUUGUACCACAUGUACAGGAUAGGUAGGAGCCGAUGAGACCGGAACGCUAGUUUCGGAGGAGGCGCUGGUGGGAUACUACCCUUGUGUUAUGAACCCUCUAACCCGCACCACUAAUCGUGGUGGGAGACAGUGUCAGAUGGGCAGUUUGACUGGGGCGGUCGCCUCCUAAAAGGUAACGGAGGCGCCCAAAGGUUCCCUCAGAAUGGUUGGAAAUCAUUCGAAGAGUGUAAAGGCAGAAGGGAGCUUGACUGCGAGACCUACAAGUCGAGCAGGGACGAAAGUCGGGCUUAGUGAUCCGGUGGUUCCGCAUGGAAGGGCCAUCGCUCAACGGAUAAAAGCUACCCUGGGGAUAACAGGCUUAUCUCCCCCAAGAGUCCACAUCGACGGGGAGGUUUGGCACCUCGAUGUCGGCUCGUCGCAUCCUGGGGCUGUAGUCGGUCCCAAGGGUUGGGCUGUUCGCCCAUUAAAGCGGCACGCGAGCUGGGUUCAGAACGUCGUGAGACAGUUCGGUCCCUAUCCGUCGCGGGCGUUGGAAAUUUGAGAGGAGCUGUCCUUAGUACGAGAGGACCGGGAUGGACUUACCGCUGGUGUACCAGUUGUUCUGCCAAGGGCAUUGCUGGGUAGCUAUGUAGGGAAGGGAUAAACGCUGAAAGCAUCUAAGUGUGAAGCCCACCUCAAGAUGAGAUUUCCCAUUUCUUUAAGAAAGUAAGACCCCUGAGAGAUGAUCAGGUAGAUAGGUUGGAAGUGGAAGGCUAGUGAUAGUUGGAGCGGACCAAUACUAAUCGGUCGAGGACUUAACCAA